CACACCCUGCAGUGUUCGAGGUGCUUUCAAUAACUGCUCACUGCCUUGGAAUAAUUACGGGAGCCAAAAACUUCGCGGAGGAUGUCAGGCCGUAAACCGGAAGACAGAGGCCGCGGAGCGGCGCCCACCUUAACCUAAAAAGGUCUUGAGCCUUUGGGCAUACGGCACAGGCGGGGUGUCC
Molecule: small RNA, 181 nt
Filed under: Acidobacteriota bacterium
Lineage: Bacteria; Pseudomonadati; Acidobacteriota
Description: 6S RNA
Source: RNAcentral